RNAcentral lists this ribosomal RNA (526 nucleotides) under uncultured bacterium. RNAcentral's name for it is "bacterial SSU rRNA". It matches the Rfam family "Bacterial small subunit ribosomal RNA", at positions 28 to 601 of the family's 1533-position model. The record is from RNAcentral.
AACGAACGCUGGCGGCAGGCCUAACACAUGCAAGUCGAACGCCGUAGCAAUACGGAGUGGCAGACGGGUGAGUAACGCGUGGGAACGUGCCCUUUGGUUCGGAAUAACCCAGGGAAACUUGGGCUAAUACCGGAUACGUCCGAAAGGAGAAAGAUUUAUCGCCGAAGGAUCGGCCCGCGUCGGAUUAGCUAGUUGGUGGGGUAAUGGCCCACCAAGGCGACGAUCCGUAGCUGGUCUGAGAGGAUGAUCAGCCACACUGGGACUGAGACACGGCCCAGACUCCUACGGGAGGCAGCAGUGGGGAAUAUUGGACAAUGGGCGAAAGCCUGAUCCAGCCAUGCCGCGUGAGUGAAGAAGGCCUUAGGGUUGUAAAGCUCUUUCAGCGGGGAAGAUAAUGACGGUACCCGCAGAAGAAGCCCCGGCUAACUUCGUGCCAGCAGCCGCGGUAAUACGAAGGGGCUAGCGUUGUUCGGAUUUACUGGGCGUAAAGCGCGCGUAGGCGGGUCACUAAGUCAGGGGUGAAACG